RNAcentral lists this non-coding RNA (26 nucleotides) under Mus musculus (house mouse). Lineage: Eukaryota; Metazoa; Chordata; Mammalia; Rodentia; Muridae. The record is from RNAcentral.
UAUUACAACACAGACGAUGAGCGAGA